GUGACCGUAGCUCAGUCGGUAGAGCUCAGGUUUGUGGAUCCUGCGGUCGCGGGUUCGAGCCCCGUCGGUCACC
RNAcentral lists this transfer RNA (73 nucleotides) under Leptospiraceae bacterium. RNAcentral describes it as "tRNA-His". It matches the Rfam family "tRNA". Rfam says of the family: Transfer RNA (tRNA) molecules are approximately 80 nucleotides in length. Their secondary structure includes four short double-helical elements and three loops (D, anti-codon, and T loops). The record is from RNAcentral. Lineage: Bacteria; Pseudomonadati; Spirochaetota; Leptospiria; Leptospirales; Leptospiraceae.